Long non-coding RNA from Pelobates fuscus (common spadefoot toad), 534 nucleotides. RefSeq lists it as uncharacterized. The transcript has 3 exons. NCBI's taxonomy places the organism in Eukaryota, Metazoa, Chordata, Amphibia, Anura, Pelobatidae. The record is from RefSeq and is a predicted model, not a curated record.
GGAAAAAGCUAGAUUUAUGCCGUGCAGAUUCUGACAUUGUGGUCAGUUUAAUGACAGCUUUGGAAGGCAUGGUAAAAAGCGAGCCCCAGGAGCUGUGCUGGUGACUCGUAUCACCAUGGCCAUUGGCAGGAUCGUUCUGCCAGUAUGGAACGCAGACAUAGGAGCCCCAUCACGGGCUGGGAGCUGAGGAAACGGAGUGAUUAAUAGCUGAUUGAGAGUCACGGCCCACACAUCACCCCAGGCAGUUUACAAGAGCGCUAAUAUACAAGAAUACAGUUUAUACACAAUUCCAGGCUUCCAGAAAUGUCUCUACAGGAAACAUAAUACGUGUCAAACCCUUCCUCUCUAUAUUUACAUCAUCUCACUGUAAGAAAAUAAACAGUAAAUCAUGCACGGCACUGUAAUCCACACGUGGCCCAAUUAUACACAAUAUGGCGGUUACCCUGCCUGCCACAAUGGUGCAUACGGAGCUCUCUGCCCAGUGCUCUGCAGGGUAACACAGUGCGUUCAGCAUCACCGAGAAAUCUGCCAACA